This 302-nucleotide unclassified non-coding RNA is filed under the name Hevea brasiliensis (rubber tree). Lineage: Eukaryota; Viridiplantae; Streptophyta; Magnoliopsida; Malpighiales; Euphorbiaceae. The record is from RNAcentral.
GACACAUUGGCAAGCACAGCUUCAUCAACUAACUUUAUAUUUUUCCGAAAAAAAAAGAAAUUGACAAUUUUCUUCUGUUUUGAAAAGCUUGGUAGAACAUUGUAUACAUAUGUCAGGAGCGAUUUAAGUAUUUUUCUGCACUAAUUAUACAUGUAACUUUAGCACCUCGAGGAUUCGUUGUUUUUUUUUUUCCUACAAAAGGAGCUAAUGAUGCUGCAACUCCAGCUUCUCAUGGCUGCAAUGAAACUGAUGGUCGAUCUUCUGGCUUUUCAACAAGCUUACAUCUUGAAGGUGGACCAAAC